CUGAAAGAAAUAAAGGCUGCACAAAAAACGAACGACAUUUCGGUGUUUGCAACAACUGAGUUCGUGAAGUGCUCAGCACCUCUAUCUAUAGGCGUGUGCCAGCGCUUACGUCCGCCUCCGCUAACCGACCGGAUGACAGAAAUGCUAGGAAUCACUAUCACACUCUCUUAUGCUUUGUGCACACCUACAUAUAUUCAUGUGUAAAUAGUGCUCUGGUCCACAGUGGCGGUAUGUGAUGUGGAGCUCGCGCUCAUAAUAUGCUCCCUACGUUCGUUGAUUUUGAUUGCGCACUCUCGAGCACUUGUUGAGCGCUGCUGAAAAUCUAUGUACUAAUGCUAUGUUCGCGAACUUGAAUACUUAAAUACUCUAAUGCAUGUACGUAUGUGGGUGAGUGUGUGUAAAUAUAAGAAAAGGACCGGCAUUGGCGUUGUGCAAAGCAAAAGGCGUUGAUAUUGGCAAUGGAUCUUAAGAAUUAUUGAUGGAGAAAAGUGUACUAAAAAAAGUAGCAAGAGAGCUGUGCUAAGUCUAUUAAAAUGUAGGCAUUCUCUGCACUGCAGAUCACGGCGUAUGCCAACUCGAACUUCGUAGAAAUCCUCUCUACUUUAUCAAUAUGACAUAUGCGGGUAUUUCAAAUAUUUAAUGUUCAAAUUCUUAUAUGAUUUUAUGUGUACAAAUGUGUGUAUGUAAUUACAAAUAUACUUAUAAUAUUAUGUAUAAGUCUAUCUAUGCUAU
Anastrepha ludens (Mexican fruit fly) is the source of this 732-nucleotide long non-coding RNA. RefSeq lists it as uncharacterized. Lineage: Eukaryota; Metazoa; Arthropoda; Insecta; Diptera; Tephritidae. The record is from RefSeq and is a predicted model, not a curated record. The transcript has 2 exons.